AUGUGGACUCGUGUAGUAAAUUCCCGUGCUUGAAUGGGGGAUCGUGUACAAACAUUCCUGAGAGUUACACUUGCUCUUGUCCUGAAAUUUGGAAAGGCACAAAUUGCGAGCAAGUUGCCUUAGUUUGCGCUCGCAAUCCAUGUGUGAACCACGUGCGCUGUGAAGACGGAUCUACAAUUUACACGUGUAUAUGUCAACCUGGUUGGUCUGGUCAGACGUGCGACAUCCCUGUCAGUUGUGGCGAUCCAGGUCCCAAUGUUAAUGCUAUUGUGACAGUCCCAGGUUUAACCCUCGGGAACGUAGCUAAAUAUGCAUGCGAUCGUGGAUACAAUGCCACUAAAGGAAGUAAAGAGCGAGUAUGUCAAAGUGACGGCACAUGGAGUGGCGAACCCAUUGUCU
Long non-coding RNA from Dreissena polymorpha, 399 nucleotides. RefSeq lists it as uncharacterized. The record is from RefSeq and is a predicted model, not a curated record. The transcript is spliced from 3 exons. Lineage: Eukaryota; Metazoa; Mollusca; Bivalvia; Myida; Dreissenidae.